Molecule: ribosomal RNA, 427 nt
Filed under: uncultured bacterium
Lineage: Bacteria
Description: bacterial SSU rRNA
Rfam family: Bacterial small subunit ribosomal RNA
Source: RNAcentral
UAGGGAAUAUUGGACAAUGGGGGCAACCCUGAUCCAGCCAUGCCGCGUGAGUGAAGAAGGCCCUCGGGUUGUAAAGCUCUUUUGUCCGGAAAGAAAAGCUUCGGGUUAAUACCCCGGGGUUCUGACGGUACCGGAAGAAUAAGCACCGGCUAACUUCGUGCCAGCAGCCGCGGUAAUACGAAGGGUGCAAGCGUUACUCGGAAUUACUGGGCGUAAAGCGUGCGUAGGUGGUUGUUUAAGUCUGAUGUGAAAGCCCUGGGCUCAACCUGGGAAUGGCAUUGGAAACUGGUCAGCUAGAGUGCGGUAGAGGGUAGUGGAAUUCCCGGUGUAGCAGUGAAAUGCGUAGAGAUCGGGAGGAACAUCUGUGGCGAAGGCGACUGCCUGGACCAGCACUGACACUGAGGCACGAAAGCGUGGGGAGCAAACA